AUUGAGCGCUGGCGGAAUGCUUUACACAUGCAAGUCGAACGGCAGCACGGGGGCAGCCCUGGUGGCGAGUGGCGAACGGGUGAGUAAUACAUCGGAACGUGCUCGGUCGUGGGGGAUAACGUAGCGAAAGUUACGCUAAUACCGCAUACGAUCUGAGGAUGAAAGCGGGGGACCUUCGGGCCUCGCGCGAUCGGAGCGGCCGAUGUCAGAUUAGGUAGUUGGUGGGGUAAAGGCCUACCAAGCCGACGAUCUGUAGCUGGUCUGAGGGGACGACCAGCCACACUGGGACUGAGACACGGCCCAGACUCCUACGGGAGGCAGCAGUGGGGAAUUUUGGACAAUGGGCGCAAGCCUGAUCCAGCCAUUCCGCGUGCAGGACGAAGGCCUUCGGGUUGUAAACUGCUUUUGUACGGAACGAAAAGGCUCUGGCUAAUACCUGGGGCUCAUGACGGUACCGUAAGAAUAAGCACCGGCUAACUACGUG
Molecule: ribosomal RNA, 484 nt
Filed under: uncultured bacterium
Lineage: Bacteria
Description: partial 16S ribosomal RNA
Rfam family: Bacterial small subunit ribosomal RNA
Source: RNAcentral